GAUGAACGCUGGCGGCGUGCCUAAUACAUGCAAGUCGAGCGAACAGACGAGGAGCUUGCUCCUCUGACGUUAGCGGCGGACGGGUGAGUAACACGUGGAUAACCUACCUAUAAGACUGGGAUAACUUCGGGAAACCGGAGCUAAUACCGGAUAAUAUAUUGAACCGCAUGGUUCAAUAGUGAAAGACGGUUUUGCUGUCUCUUAUAGAUGGAUCCGCGUCGCAUUAGCUAGUUGGUAAGGUAACGGCUUACCAAGGCAACGAUGCGUAGCCGACCUGAGAGGGUGAUCGGCCACACUGGAACUGAGACACGGUCCAGACUCCUACGGGAGGCAGCAGUAGGGAAUCUUCGGCAAUGGGCGAAAGCUUGACGGAGCAACGCCGCGUGAGUGAUGAAGGUCUUCGGAUCGUAAAACUCUGUUAUUAGGGAAGAACAAAUGUGUAAUUAACUAUGCACGUCUUGACGGUACCUAAUCAGAAAGCCACGGCUAACUACGUG
Molecule: ribosomal RNA, 497 nt
Filed under: uncultured bacterium
Lineage: Bacteria
Description: partial 16S ribosomal RNA
Rfam family: Bacterial small subunit ribosomal RNA
Source: RNAcentral